Long non-coding RNA from Beta vulgaris subsp. vulgaris (sugar beet), 4053 nucleotides. RefSeq lists it as uncharacterized. NCBI's taxonomy places the organism in Eukaryota, Viridiplantae, Streptophyta, Magnoliopsida, Caryophyllales, Amaranthaceae. The record is from RefSeq and is a predicted model, not a curated record. The transcript has 5 exons.
CUAACUAAAUUAACUUGAAUGUGCUAAUUUAAUAGAAAUGGAAAAUAAAACCCGCUAAAUACAAAACCAACUGUUAAGAGCUAACUUUUCCAGAAUUAAGGAAUCUUCUCUUCAAGUAGUUGCCCGCCGUUGUAAGUGAUUGUAAAUGCCCAUGGUAAAUGGAGCUGGAUAAUGGGUGAGUUGUUAAAAGAGCUAACUAAUCCCUAGCUUUACGCUACCUUCUUGCUGUAAGUUGCCACGCUUAUUCAGCCAUGUAAUGUAGCUCAUUAUUACAUCCUAAGCUAAUAUGAUAUGUAUAGAUUACAUGAUUCUUAACAGAAUACAUAGCAAUAAAAUUACACAUCACAAUAUUAAAUAAAAGAGAAACAAACUCCUAAAUGAAUGAAGACUCCCAUGUUAACGUUGACUUCAUUAAUGAACCCAGAGUAACAAAGGAAUCAAUGGCUCGAUGGGCUGAAAUGAUGACCCCAUUAAUGGUUCACAAGGAACAACAACUUUUAAGGCCAUGAUACUUUCUCCAACCAUGUUGAUAAGUUUGUGUUUUUGACCAAGUGUAAUGAAGGAUCCACGCUUGUAAUGAUAAGUGCAUAUUCUAACAUCAUUUCGUUGCAUAUUAGAAUGCAUUUUCAUGUAUUAUUAGAGUCUUUACAUUGCAUUUAUGCAUAUGUCCCUUUUUAUAAACUAUGGAACUUUCACAGGUUGUUUGGUUUCUUAAUGUAAUUUCAGGCACUUUGGACUCCUAUUUGCAGACUAUUAAGACACAUGGAUAACCUUCAAAAAGAUAUAUCAUGUAUCCAAAACGGAUUGAAAUUGAAGAAGAUUCAAACUACUAAGGGCUUUGAUGAGCUAUUCCUGAGAGGCAACCCAAGUUUUCUAACCUUAUUUGUUUUCUUUUUAAUUUUAAAUUUAGGGAAUUUUAGUUUUUUUUUUAUUUUCUUACGAACUUUUAAAAUUGUGCAAAUGGGAUCUAGGGGUUGAGUUCCUAUUAUUCAUUUAGAUUAAUCUCUAGGUUUUUUGAUCUUAUGAUGUGUAAGGAACGAAGUUCAACUCUAAGUUUUUACCCACAACCCUUUUGGUAUAGUUUUUCCUUUCCUACUCUUCAAGUUUUGAGAGUCAUCUCUCUUUUUGCCAUUUAUAUUGGUUUAACUUGAUUGUGUGGUUGAGUAAGUUGUUCUUGUCAUGUGGUUGUGGAUGUUCCCCUUUUUGUUCUCCUCGUAUUAUACUUUAUCACAUUGAGGGCAAUGUUUUAUUAAGCUUAGGUGGGAGAAUUUACUCUUUGGGUCAAGACGUGCGUAUAUAAUCCAUUUACGUUUGUUAUAGAUUCUUUUUUCUUGAAUGUUUGCAUGUUUUGGCUUUGUGGACAUGCCUUCUGAAAACCUUCACGAGACCUACUCAUUCACUAGCGCAACCUAAGGGUUGUUGUACAUGCUAAGCGCAAUUGUGAUUCAUACAAAAGAUUUGGACAAACGCCUCCUCCAAAGUUCGUAUGGAUCAUAGUAAUACUACCCCCAAGGUUCAUAUGGAGCGUAGCCGACCAUAUCAGGUCAAAGGAGUAACCAUCCUCCACCCAUACCUUGCCCACUUUUUAUUUUCAGUUCAUAAACUAUGUCAGCCAAACAGUUGCUAUAAUAGCCUUGUUUUUAAGUACCUUUAUUUAAAUAUUAAUUAUAUUUAUUAAGUUAAUUAUGUUUUGAAAAUUCUUAUUUUAUUUGAGUUGCGAAGUAUAAAUUUUAUUUGUCAUGCUGUAAUGUAUUAGUUUAUUUAAUUAUAUGAGAUUAUUUUUAUUAUUUUUAUUAUUAUUAAAACUAUUUUGGGUCUUAUCUGCGACUAAAUUGUGUGCUAUUUGGUCAAAUAGGAAGUCAAAGUCGAUUUUUCCUUCAACUCUUAUACCUUUUGUCGGUUUAAUGAAAUAAAACCCCAACCCGUGAAAAGAACCCAAAACCCAUUCCAUUAUUUUGUUUCUCGUACCUCCUUCCUCGUAAAAUUCCAGAACCCCAAAACGAAACCCCUCCCCUGUUCUUUGGGCUCGACGAACUGAAACCCCCAAAACCCCGUGAAACCCCGGUGAACCCGCGCCGUCGUCGGCCGUUUUCCGUCACCGGAGACUCGCGCUGCACCUCGCAGCCCUGCUCCUCUCUCCGUCGUCGUCGCGCUGCAGCUGUACUACCUCGCCGGCGUUUUUCGCGGCUGUCGGAGACCUACGCACUUCGCAGCCCUUGUUCAUCUCUCUCGUGUGUGGUGUUGUUGUUCGUGUUCGUUAUUUCUCCGUUUUCUCUCUCCUGUUCUUGUGUCGUCGUUGCGGUUGGUUGCUGCUGCCGUUCUGUGCCGCCGUGGCCUGCUGCUACCUCGCCGGUGCUCAACAAGCCUCGCGAAGCUCCACUUCUGAAGCUUCGAAACCCCCUCCUUCAUCCCGUUGUUCUUCGUUGCUCACGCAGAGUAGAGUUUCAAAACCUCUCCCUCAACCCUCUGUCACACUCUUCUUCGCUGCUCUACUUGAGCAGAGAGUCAAACAUUGUUGCAGGUUUGGUGCUGUGAGCUCAGGAUUCUGAAGUGAAGCAAGAUAAAGAUGUCGUCGUAGCUUAUGGAUUGAGUUUGUAUCUAGAUAGUGUAUUUGAGAUUAGAUAUUUAUAUUUCGUUGUAUACAAUAUUUGGGAAUAUUAGUCGAGAUAUCGGUGUAAUUGAAGUCUUAUAUAAAGGAUUUUGUUUUGUGGGCCAAUAACCCACAGGUUUCAGGAUCGUUUUAUAGGUUAUGUUUCCGCUGCGAGUAAAUGUUUAAUCCGAGGCUUAUUAAGCAUUGAUUGUGAUUAGUGGAUCUUAAGUGUAUUUACCUAGCAGCUCGGGAAAGCGGGCUGUUACAGUUGCGUAUUCAUAUUAUCAAAUAAUAUUUUCAUAAUCAACUCACAACAUCAUAUUCAUAACUAUGGCUAUAGUACAAACUUAAGUAUCAAAAACAUAACAGAGAGAUCCACAUACAUAAGGGCAUGAGUAAAUUAUUUUACUGAACAUAAAAGUUACCUAACCGCAUUACAAUUCCAACAACACAAUCUCCUUCAUUAAUCUUGAUCUCCAAAUGAGACUUAAAUCCAUAAUCAUUCUCCAAUAAUUUCGCUCACAACAAUAACAAUAAUUAAUAAUGUAAUAGCCCUGUUUUUAAGAGCAUUUAUUUAAAAGUUAAAUAUAGUUAUUGAGUUAAUCAUGUUCUGAAAACUUUUAUUUUAUUUGAGUUGGAGUAUGAAUUAUAUUGAUGUGUUUGUAAUGUAUUUAUUUAUUUAAUUAUAUGAGAUUAUUAUUAUUAUUAUUUUAUAUUUUGGGUAUUGUGCAAUUAGUUGAGCGGUAUUUCGCAAAUUAGAAAACCAAAGUCGGAUUCCUUUUCGAACCAUUCGUUCCUUUGUUAUUAUUGUAGGUCAAUGAAACCCCAUCACCUUCCUUUACUCUCUAGUGGAUUCUAAAAUUUCAAAACCCCAAAACCCAAAAGAGAACCCCAACCUCGUGAAACCACUUCUCCCUUGCAUCUCUCUCUGCAUGUGUUGUUGUCAUGUCAGCCUACUCGCCUGAGUUUCGAGCGUCCUGCCGCCGCAACCUGGCGGCGUAUCCGUCCAUUCCCUUUGCCCUUGUCGCGAGUAGUUGAUGUUCGCAAGUGCGGCGCUCGUGCACCGUCUCUCUCCCCUUUGUUUGUUGUUGUUGUAAUCUAGCGGUGGUGUCGCCGUUCUAGUUUGGCCACCGCGAUUCGUAGCUCGCCGGACCUGCUGAUGCACUGCUGCUCGUCGGUGACGCCGCUGUGCACUGAAGCUUCGAGACCCCCUCUGUUCCUUUUUCCCCUGUUCUUCAUUGCUAUUGUGAGCAGAGGUUUUAUGUUGUGAGCUCGGAAUUGGAAAUGGAGCAAGAUAAAGAUGUCAUUGUAGAUUAUGAAUUGAGUUUGUAUUUAGAUAGUUGAUUCAGGAAUAGUUACUGAUUUCUCAUUGUAUAAAUUUUUGGGAAUUUAGUCGAGUUACUUGUGUAAUUAAGGAUAUUUUUCCGAUGCAAAGUAAUUUAUUUAAGAGUUAAUUUUAGUUA